UACGUAGGGUGCAAGCGUUGUCCGGAAUUAUUGGGCGUAAAGAGCUCGUAGGCGGUUCGUCACGUCGGCUGUGAAAUCCCGAGGCUCAACCUCGGGUCUGCAGUCGAUACGGGCGGACUUGAGUACUGCAGGGGAGACUGGAAUUCCUGGUGUAGCGGUGAAAUGCGCAGAUAUCAGGAGGAACACCGGUGGCGAAGGCGGGUCUCUGGGGCAGUAACUGACGCUGAGGAGCGAAAGCGUGGGGGAGCAAACAAGG
Molecule: ribosomal RNA, 256 nt
Filed under: uncultured bacterium
Lineage: Bacteria
Description: partial 16S ribosomal RNA
Rfam family: Bacterial small subunit ribosomal RNA
Source: RNAcentral